GGCAGUUCCGGGUGAUGCACCCCAGAAUCAGGCUCCCUCCGCUCUGGUUCUGGGUGCGUCACCCGAGAACUGCA
Myotis lucifugus (little brown bat) is the source of this 74-nucleotide non-coding RNA. The record is from Rfam. NCBI's taxonomy places the organism in Eukaryota, Metazoa, Chordata, Mammalia, Chiroptera, Vespertilionidae.